RNAcentral lists this long non-coding RNA (231 nucleotides) under Setaria viridis. RNAcentral's name for it is "long non-coding RNA (SVIR_LNC009574)". The record is from RNAcentral. Lineage: Eukaryota; Viridiplantae; Streptophyta; Magnoliopsida; Poales; Poaceae.
CAGGACAAAAGUCCCCAUUUUGUCCCAGUUGGUAAUUCCAACCGGGACAUACCAAGACAAAAGAUUUUGUCGCGGUUGGAAUUACCAACCGAGACAAAAGCCGAGCUAGAGCCACUCGACUAGAUACCGAGAGCUUCUUUCUCCUCCUCUCCAUGAUGAGCAAGCAUUUUUUUCCUCAUUUCCAUGGGGUUUCAUUCAUCCAAAAUGUUGUAAAGGUUACUUACUUCAUCC